AGUGAACGUUGGCGGUAGGCCUAACACAUGCAAGUCGAACGGCAGCACAGUAAGAGCUUGCUCUUACGGGUGGCGAGUGGCGGACGGGUGAGGAAUACAUCGGUAUCUACUUUUUCGUGGGGGAUAACGUAGGGAAACUUACGCUAAUACCGCAUACGACCUACGGGUGAAAGCAGGGGAUCUUCGGACCUUGCGCGAUUGAAUGAGCCGAUGUCGGAUUAGCUAGUUGGCGGGGUAAAGGCCCACCAAGGCGACGAUCCGUAGCUGGUCUGAGAGGAUGAUCAGCCACACUGGAACUGAGACACGGUCCAGACUCCUACGGGAGGCAGCAGUGGGGAAUAUUGGACAAUGGGCGCAAGCCUGAUCCAGCCAUACCGCGUGGGUGAAGAAGGCCUUCGGGUUGUAAAGCCCUUUUGUUGGGAAAGAAAAGCAGCAGGUUAAUACCCCGCUGUUCUGACGGUACCCAAAGAAUAAGCACCGGCUAACUUCGUG
RNAcentral lists this ribosomal RNA (492 nucleotides) under uncultured bacterium. RNAcentral's name for it is "partial 16S ribosomal RNA". It matches the Rfam family "Bacterial small subunit ribosomal RNA", at positions 29 to 507 of the family's 1533-position model. The record is from RNAcentral.